GGGUGCGAUCAUACCAGCACUAAUGUACCAAAUCCCAUCAGAACUCCACAACUAAGCGUAUUUGGGUAAGAGUAGUACUAAUAUUGGUGAACUCCUAGGAAGUCCUUGUGUUUCAUCCC
Molecule: ribosomal RNA, 119 nt
Filed under: Gossypium hirsutum (cotton)
Lineage: Eukaryota; Viridiplantae; Streptophyta; Magnoliopsida; Malvales; Malvaceae
Source: RNAcentral